Non-coding RNA from Trichonephila inaurata madagascariensis, 69 nucleotides. NCBI's taxonomy places the organism in Eukaryota, Metazoa, Arthropoda, Arachnida, Araneae, Nephilidae. The record is from the annotation of a GenBank genome assembly.
AUGUAGUGCGAUGGAGAGCGCGUUGGACUUCUAAUCCAAAGGUCGUGGGUUCGAAUCCUAUCAGGAUUG